GCGGCGCCCCCUGCCGGCCGCGGAGGGCGCGCCUUGGAGGGAGAGGACUUUAGGUGACGCCGCCAGGAGGCGAAAUUUCACCUGCCAGCAGCUCUGGAGGUCAAAAGAAAUGAGACUGCUGGGCUAAGAUCAAGGUGUCAGCAGGGCUGUAUUCCUUCCCAAGGCUCCAGGGGAGAAUCUGUUCACUUGCCUUUCCCAGCUUCUAGAGGUUGCCUACAUUCCUUGGCUUGCGGACCCUUCCUCCAUCUCCAGAAUCAGUAACGAAAGAUCCAAAGCCAUAUCCUGGCUGAGUUGGCUGAGUUGGCUGAGUUGAGCAGGACACUGACAAGGAGGCUGCUGAGCCUGCAACUCGACUGUUCUGUUUGAGGAGCUCUGUGCUUUAUCAUAGAAAUGGAUCUGAGAUGUGGUCUCCCUAUGCUGCCCAGGCUCGUCUCAAACUCCUGGGCUCAAGCAUUCCUCCCACCUUGGCCUCCUAAAGUGCUGGGAUUAUAGGCGUGAACCACUGUGCCUGGCCUCAUGAUAUAACUUCUUAAUGUUAGUUUUUCCUUAAAGAGGGACUGCUUGC
RNAcentral lists this non-coding RNA (565 nucleotides) under Pan troglodytes (chimpanzee). Lineage: Eukaryota; Metazoa; Chordata; Mammalia; Primates; Hominidae. The record is from RNAcentral.